Long non-coding RNA from Rhincodon typus (whale shark), 2797 nucleotides. RefSeq lists it as uncharacterized. The transcript is spliced from 3 exons. The record is from RefSeq and is a predicted model, not a curated record. NCBI's taxonomy places the organism in Eukaryota, Metazoa, Chordata, Chondrichthyes, Orectolobiformes, Rhincodontidae.
CGAACGCCAGCCUCAUCUGGUGAACAUAGCGAUGCAUCCAGCUCUCCCGCUGCCUCGCCUGUGUGUAUUGAAUAGGAGUUGGAAAGGACUGGAGUUUUUUGCUUUGAGUCACUGAGCAGCGCGGGGCUGUGUGAUCAGGACAUUCAGAUACAGCUAACCCUGUAAGAAUGCCAUUUCAGGAUUACGUCGAGCGAGGGAGAGAGGCAACUGCAUUCCCACUGGUCACCAGCCUUCCCCCUUGCCCAGUCCUCUCUACUGAUGGCUGUGAAUUGAAAAGGUAAUUUAAUCCAGAUUCGGACUGGACACUCAGAGGGAGAGAGAGAGGGAGAAAAAUGUUUGAAAACGUCACAUCUACCGAUGAUCACGUUUACGGAUCUUCAAUUAUCCCUUACCACGAAGAUAGGUGGCGUGCGUUUCUGGGGCCGCACUUCAGGGACUCUCUUUAUAGAAAAAUGUCAUUCCAACAAGCGGAACACGUCAGUCCGUCCACAGGUUGUGUUUCCUGGUGUGAGAGACAACGGAGCGAUCAGUUCUAACCUGCACAGCAGGAAUAACGGUCCUUCCUCAAGUCUUUAAAGGUUUCUUUUUUUCCCUUUCCUUUUGAACAAAAAUCUCGCCUUGAUCUUCAUGUUCCUUCAUCUGCACGCUGUCGACCUCCCAGCAGUCUUACUAAACAACAGAGCCAGGACAGAGCAGGACCGUAAAGCGUCGUGAAAAGAGCCGGGGGGACGAGCCGAUGCCGAGUCCUGGAAUCUGAUCAGACUCUUAUCAAUGAAGCAGCAGAUCAUGGCGGAUGGCCCCAGGUGUAAGAGGCGAAAACAAGCCAACCCCAGGAGGAAAAACGGGACCUGACAAGCUGACAGAGUGGAACCUGUGACUCAUUCCUGCCUCAAAUCAUCAAGUGACAUACAGGGAGUGCAUAUUUUAAUGGAUGGGCGUUGGAAUGAAGAUGAUUUUGAAAGAGGUCGAACCCCUUCUUGUCAGUCUGAGAAGGGUUGGCUCUCUGCUGUAAAAUCAGUUCUAAGUGCCAUUAGUCUGAUGUCCUUGAUAUUUGAUGCAGGUUUUCUCUGAACUGGUCUAAUUUCUACACCUUUCCAUAUGAAGCAGUGAAACGCCUAUGUUCCUGUUAUCCUCACCGGUUAAGUUUGCUUAAACUGUCUGAGCUCUUUGAAUUUUGAAUUCCGUUGAUGCUAUCAAUUUUGUCAUUUAACAGCUGUGAGAAUGAUCACUAGAGCUAAAAUGUUUUAAACCAUUGGGGCUGAGAAUGGAAUUGUCAUUGAGGAUUCUCAUAGUAAAAACUUUCUGCUUUAAAUUGCACUUGUAAAGAGUGUGUGGAUUUGAAGAGAGAGCUCAAGGAGGGGUUAAAACCUAGUUCUCAGGCUAAGAGCAGAAGGCUAUGUUAUUUUAAUGGUGCUUAAAUUGAGUUUGAAGGCAAUUUUGCUGUGUGAAAUGAAUAUUGAAGCUAAAUUAAAUUGUGACCACCAAAAACCCUUUUUUGUGAGUUAAUAUAUAUUUUGAUGUUUUAAUUAAUUUUUACAUUAUUACUUGAUUUACUUAGUAAUGAGGCAAAAUUAAUUAAUAAUUAUAAUAACAGUAACUCAUUCCCAGGAAGGUUAUACUAAAGUAAUUACAAAUUAAAAAUGGAAUCUUGUAGUUUUGCUUUGUGUUCUAGUAAUGUGCAAUAAAAUAAUUUAAGGCCAAAAAACUCUUUCAUUUGCAAUAUAAUUGCUUCUUUUUGCACAUCCUCAGUACAGUUAAUUAAAAGCGCUGAUUAUAUUCAGUUACGCUACCUUUGUACCUAAAACAUCUUGACCAAAUGAUAAAACAGGUGCAAGUAUAUUUAAAAGUAAAAUUGCAAUUAGCAUUGGAAAUUGUGAAAUUGAUAGAAAUUGCUGCUAAUUUUAGUCUGUGACAACAUAAUUUAUCCACCUCAAACACAGAUAGUGCUCAAACGAACAAUUACCUCCUUCUCCAUUUGCAAUCUGCAGGUGAAAGUGUUUGCUAAAUAUUUAAGCAACGUGAGGAUGUUUUCUCAUAUUGAGUAGGUUUCUACAGUGUGGAAUGGGAGAGAGGAGUUGAAUGAAUAGUUUCUGGUUAAAGGUAUAGAAAUAGAUAAGACUUUCUUUCUCCUUCUCUGGGAGAGGUUAAGUUGCUUGUGAGGUGGCCUCUUUACAUGGAAUACAUUAACCCAUUAAGGGCCAGGCUGGCACCCUGCACUGUGUUGAAGUUCAUUCUGUUCAUUCACAGAAUCGUAUCUUGUGCAUUUCUUGAAUGGCUGUUCCAUUUGUAACUGACACUAGAAAUGCCCAGAGUACAAUUUGUGCGAAUGUUUGUAUCACUUAUGCUCUUCUGUUCCGAUAAGUCUGAGAAUGAAAUGGAGGACUUGAGAAGAAAUGUUAGGUAGUUGUGCCACUGCAGAAGGUGGCUACAAAAGGUGACAUAUUUUUGAAGUGAAGUGAAGGUGAGAAGAAAUCUUAAUUCAGCACAUAAACUGUGAGGGACACGUUAUAUAUUUUUUAAUUAAGUUAGAUAUGUCAGCCUGGCCUGUGCAAUUUAAUUUCCAAUUGUACAUUAUAUGUUUGCCUUGAAUGGAAAUAUUGAUAUCGUACUUCUGCUCUGAUUUAAGUAUCAUAUUUAAACAGUACAUUUUACAUAAAUGGAUAUAUUUAUAAGCAUGUUUAAUUAGUACAAUUAUAACGCACACAGUGUUUCUGUUUACACAGUACCUGCACUGUAGUUAAAUAGGAACAUUUAUAAAUUGUUUUCUGUAAUUGAAUAAACAUGUUUAUAAAGUGUU